GUUGAAGAACCAAAUCCGCUUUAUUUGUGCUCUGAAUAUGGACAAACUUGCAGGCUGAAGUUGCUCUUUGUAGAGACAAAAGAGCCCCUUCAGGAAACUCUCUCUUUGUGCUACCUAUAAAAUUUCUGGAGAAUCUUAGCCAGGUAUAAUGCGGCGGAAAGUGUUCUUUAAUCAGUUGUUCAUGGUGUUGUAGAGAAAUUCUUAUUCUUCACCUUCUAGGUUGUUAUUCUGUGCUUGAAGCAUUUUGAAUGUGUAAUUAAAGAUUACGAGUCAGAGCUGUAUCGCAAUUCGAUCUUUUGAGUGUGCUAUUUGCUAGCCAAAACUUUAGCAUGUUGAUCAAUCACUGUUGCUAAUUUGUUUACUUGUUCUGAGAUCACCUUGUAA
RNAcentral lists this unclassified non-coding RNA (384 nucleotides) under Hevea brasiliensis (rubber tree). The record is from RNAcentral. Lineage: Eukaryota; Viridiplantae; Streptophyta; Magnoliopsida; Malpighiales; Euphorbiaceae.